This 644-nucleotide ribosomal RNA is filed under the name uncultured bacterium. RNAcentral describes it as "bacterial SSU rRNA". It matches the Rfam family "Bacterial small subunit ribosomal RNA", at positions 79 to 719 of the family's 1533-position model. The record is from RNAcentral.
CUUGCUUCUCUUGAGAGCGGCGGACGGGUGAGUAAUGCCUAGGAAUCUGUCUGGUAGUGGGGGAUAACGUCCGGAAACGGACGCUAAUACCGCAUACGUCCUACGGGAGAAAGCAGGGGACCUUCGGGCCUUGCGCUAUCAGAUGAGCCUAGGUCGGAUUAGCUAGUUGGUGGGGUAAUGGCUCACCAAGGCGACGAUCCGUAACUGGUCUGAGAGGAUGAUCAGUCACACUGGAACUGAGACACGGUCCAGACUCCUACGGGAGGCAGCAGUGGGGAAUAUUGGACAAUGGGCGAAAGCCUGAUCCAGCCAUGCCGCGUGUGUGAAGAAGGUCUUCGGAUUGUAAAGCACUUUAAGUUGGGAGGAAGGGCAGUAAAUUAAUACUUUGCUGUUUUGACGUUACCGACAGAAUAAGCACCGGCUAACUCUGUGCCAGCAGCCGCGGUAAUACAGAGGGUGCAAGCGUUAAUCGGAAUUACUGGGCGUAAAGCGCGCGUAGGUGGUUCGUUAAGUUGGAUGUGAAAUCCCCGGGCUCAACCUGGGAACUGCAUUCAAAACUGACGAGCUAGAGUAUGGUAGAGGGUGGUGGAAUUUCCUGUGUAGCGGUGAAAUGCGUAGAUAUAGGAAGGAACACCAGUGGCGAA